GGGUUGUGAGGUUAAGCGACUAAGCGUACACGGUGGAUGCCCUGGCAGUCAGAGGCGAUGAAGGACGUGCUAAUCUGCGAAAAGCGUCGGUAAGGUGAUAUGAACCGUUAUAGCCGGCGAUGUCCGAAUGGGGAAACCCAGUGCAAUUCGUUGCACUAUCGUUAACUGAAUACAUAGGUUAACGAGGCGAACCGGGGGAACUGAAACAUCUAAGUACCCCGAGGAAAAGAAAUCAACCGAGAUUCCCCCAGUAGCGGCGAGCGAACGGGGAGCAGCCCGGAGUCUGAAUCAGCUUGUGUGUUAGUGGAAGCGUCUGGAAAGUCGCAGGGUACAGGGUGAUACUCCCGUACACUAAAACACACAGGUUGUGAACUCGAAGAGUAGGGCGGGACACGUGGUAUCCUGUCUGAAUAUGGGGGGACCAUCCUCCAAGGCUAAAUACUCCUGACUGACCGAUAGUGAACCAGUACCGUGAGGGAAAGGCGAAAAGAACCCCGGCGAGGGGAGUGAAAAAGAACCUGAAACCGUGUACGUACAAGCAGUAGGAGCCCACUUGUUGGGUGACUGCGUACCUUUUGUAUAAUGGGUCAGCGACUUAUAUUCUGUAGCAAGGUUAACCGUAUAGGGGAGCCGCAGGGAAACCGAGUCUUAACUGGGCGUUAAGUUGCAGGGUAUAGACCCGAAACCCGGUGAUCUAGCCAUGGGCAGGUUGAAGGUUGGGUAACACUAACUGGAGGACCGAACCGACUAAUGUUGAAAAAUUAGCGGAUGACUUGUGGCUGGGGGUGAAAGGCCAAUCAAACCGGGAGAUAGCUGGUUCUCCCCGAAAGCUAUUUAGGUAGCGCCUCGUGAACUCAUCUUCGGGGGUAGAGCACUGUUUCGGCUAGGGGGUCAUCCCGACUUACCAACCCGAUGCAAACUACGAAUACCGAAGAAUGUUAUCACGGGAGACACACGGCGGGUGCUAACGUCCGUCGUGAAGAGGGAAACAACCCAGACCGCCAGCUAAGGUCCCAAAGUCAUGGUUAAGUGGGAAACGAUGUGGGAAGGCCCAGACAGCCAGGAUGUUGGCUUAGAAGCAGCCAUCAUUUAAAGAAAGCGUAAUAGCUCACUGGUCGAGUCGGCCUGCGCGGAAGAUGUAACGGGGCUAAACCAUGCACCGAAGCUGCGGCAGCGACACUAUGUGUUGUUGGGUAGGGGAGCGUUCUGUAAGCCGUUGAAGGUGGCCUGUGAGGGUUGCUGGAGGUAUCAGAAGUGCGAAUGCUGACAUAAGUAACGAUAAUGCGGGUGAAAAACCCGCACGCCGGAAGACCAAGGGUUCCUGUCCAACGUUAAUCGGGGCAGGGUGAGUCGACCCCUAAGGCGAGGCCGAAAGGCGUAGUCGAUGGGAAACAGGUUAAUAUUCCUGUACUCGGUGUUACUGCGAAGGGGGGACGGAGAAGGCUAUGUUGGCCGGGCGACGGUUGUCCCGGUUUAAGCAUGUAGGCGGAUGUUCCAGGUAAAUCCGGAACGUUACUAACGCUGAGGUGUGAUGACGAGGCACUACGGUGCUGAAGUGACAAAUGCCCUGCUUCCAGGAAAAGCCUCUAAGCAUCAGGUAACAUCAAAUCGUACCCCAAACCGACACAGGUGGUCAGGUAGAGAAUACCAAGGCGCUUGAGAGAACUCGGGUGAAGGAACUAGGCAAAAUGGUGCCGUAACUUCGGGAGAAGGCACGCUGAUGGUAAGUGAAGUGACUUGCUCAUGGAGCUGAAAUCAGUCGAAGAUACCAGCUGGCUGCAACUGUUUAUUAAAAACACAGCACUGUGCAAACACGAAAGUGGACGUAUACGGUGUGACGCCUGCCCGGUGCCGGAAGGUUAAUUGAUGGGGUUAUCCGUAAGGAGAAGCUCUUGAUCGAAGCCCCGGUAAACGGCGGCCGUAACUAUAACGGUCCUAAGGUAGCGAAAUUCCUUGUCGGGUAAGUUCCGACCUGCACGAAUGGCGUAAUGAUGGCCAGGCUGUCUCCACCCGAGACUCAGUGAAAUUGAACUCGCUGUGAAGAUGCAGUGUACCCGCGGCAAGACGGAAAGACCCCGUGAACCUUUACUAUAGCUUGACACUGAACACUGGUCCUUGAUGUGUAGGAUAGGUGGGAGGCUUUGAAGUGUGGACGCCAGUCUGCAUGGAGCCAUCCUUGAAAUACCACCCUUUAAUGGCUGGUGUUCUAACGUGGGCCCCUAAUCGGGGUUGCGGACAGUGUCUGGUGGGUAGUUUGACUGGGGCGGUCUCCUCCUAAAGAGUAACGGAGGAGCACGAAGGUCAGCUAAUCCUGGUCGGACAUCAGGAGGUUAGUGCAAUGGCAUAAGCUGGCUUGACUGCGAGCGUGACGGCGCGAGCAGGUGCGAAAGCAGGUCAUAGUGAUCCGGUGGUUCUGAAUGGAAGGGCCAUCGCUCAACGGAUAAAAGGUACUCCGGGGAUAACAGGCUGAUACCGCCCAAGAGUUCAUAUCGACGGCGGUGUUUGGCACCUCGAUGUCGGCUCAUCACAUCCUGGGGCUGAAGUAGGUCCCAAGGGUAUGGCUGUUCGCCAUUUAAAGUGGUACGCGAGCUGGGUUUAGAACGUCGUGAGACAGUUCGGUCCCUAUCUGCCGUGGGCGCUGGAGAAUUGAGGGGGCUGCUCCUAGUACGAGAGGACCGGAGUGGACGCAUCACUGGUGUUCGGGUUGUCAUGCCAAUGGCAUUGCCCGGUAGCUAAAUGCGGAAGAGAUAAGUGCUGAAAGCAUCUAAGCACGAAACUUGCCCCGAGAUGAGUUCUCCCUGACUCCUUGAGAGUCCUGAAGGAACGUUGAAGACGACGACGUUGAUAGGCCGGGUGUGUAAGCGCAGCGAUGCGUUGAGCUAACCGGUACUAAUGAACCGUGAGGCUUAACCUUACAACGCCGAAG
This 2926-nucleotide ribosomal RNA is filed under the name Klebsiella michiganensis. RNAcentral's name for it is "23S ribosomal RNA". It matches the Rfam family "Bacterial large subunit ribosomal RNA". The record is from RNAcentral. Lineage: Bacteria; Pseudomonadati; Pseudomonadota; Gammaproteobacteria; Enterobacterales; Enterobacteriaceae.